Molecule: transfer RNA, 77 nt
Filed under: Eriophorum angustifolium
Lineage: Eukaryota; Viridiplantae; Streptophyta; Magnoliopsida; Poales; Cyperaceae
Description: tRNA-Leu
Rfam family: tRNA
About the family: Transfer RNA (tRNA) molecules are approximately 80 nucleotides in length. Their secondary structure includes four short double-helical elements and three loops (D, anti-codon, and T loops).
Source: RNAcentral
CNAAUUUUCGGUAGACGCUACGGACUUAAAAUCCGUCGAUUUUUUAAAUCAUGAGGGUUCAAGUCCCUCUAUCCCCA